RNAcentral lists this ribosomal RNA (460 nucleotides) under uncultured bacterium. Its description in RNAcentral is "partial 16S ribosomal RNA". It matches the Rfam family "Bacterial small subunit ribosomal RNA", at positions 338 to 795 of the family's 1533-position model. The record is from RNAcentral.
CCUACGGGAGGCAGCAGUGAGGAAUAUUGGUCAAUGGACGAGAGUCUGAACCAGCCAAGUAGCGUGAAGGAUGACUGCCCUAUGGGUUGUAAACUGCUUUUAUAUGGGAAUAAAAUGUUCCACGUGUGGGAUUUUGUAUGUACCAUAUGAAUAAGGAUCGGCUAAUUCCGUGCCAGCAGCCGCGGUAAUACGGAGGAUCCGGGCGUUAUCCGGAUUUAUUGGGUUUAAAGGGAGCGUAGGUGGAUUGUUAAGCGAGUUGUGAAAGUGUGCGGCUCAACCGUGGAACUGCAGUUGAAACUGGCAGGCUUGAGUACAGUAGAGGUGGGCGGAAUUCGUGGUGUAGCGGUGAAAUGCUUAGAUAUCACGAAGAACUCCGAUUGCGAAGGCAGCUCACUGGACUGCAACUGACGCUGAGGCUCGAAAGUGUGGGUAUCAAACAGGAUUAGAUACCCUAGUAGUC